RNAcentral lists this unclassified non-coding RNA (495 nucleotides) under Pogonolepis stricta. RNAcentral describes it as "partial external transcribed spacer". Lineage: Eukaryota; Viridiplantae; Streptophyta; Magnoliopsida; Asterales; Asteraceae. The record is from RNAcentral.
UUUCGGCUGAUGGCUGCUUUCCUUGCCUCUGGGCUAGGUUGGUGGCCGUUUAGUUGGGUGAUCUCGGGAAUGUCAACCGUAAAGGUGCAUGAGUGGUGUUUGGUUUGUUACGGGUGGUUGGCUCUUCGCUUGCGCGACAACUUCCACCCGGCAUACCUCUUCAGUUUUGUGUCAAUGCUUGUAUCGUAUUGAACACAUCGUGGGUUUCUUGUGUUGCAUGCCUAACCGAUGGUAUCGCUUGACGUACUGAUGUCUAUUUUCGUCCUGCUGUGCACACGCGAAGCUGGACGAACCUUAAAGCAGCCUUUGUGAUCCACUCUUUCUUCGCACACGCAUCGAUUUUGUGGCUCAUUUAGCGAUGUUUGGUAUCAUUGAUAUGGAACCUUUUCUGGGCAUGGGAUCUUUUACUAGCUCCUUUUCUGCCCUAGUUAAGCUUCUAAUAUACGAUUUCCUACCAUUCCAUCUCGGUGUGGUGGGCUUUAUCGAAUAUGAAUG